RNAcentral lists this ribosomal RNA (207 nucleotides) under uncultured Romboutsia sp. RNAcentral describes it as "partial 16S ribosomal RNA". It matches the Rfam family "Bacterial small subunit ribosomal RNA", at positions 568 to 775 of the family's 1533-position model. Lineage: Bacteria; Bacillati; Bacillota; Clostridia; Peptostreptococcales; Peptostreptococcaceae. The record is from RNAcentral.
UGCGUAGGUGGUUUCUUAAGUCAGAGGUGAAAGGCUACGGCUCAACUGUAGUAAGCCUUUGAAACUGGGAAACUUGAGUGCAGGAGAGGAGAGUGGAAUUCCUAGUGUAGCGGUGAAAUGCGUAGAUAUUAGGAGGAACACCAGUUGCGAAGGCGGCUCUCUGGACUGUAACUGACACUGAGGCACGAAAGCGUGGGGAGCAAACAG